Molecule: ribosomal RNA, 488 nt
Filed under: uncultured bacterium
Lineage: Bacteria
Description: partial 16S ribosomal RNA
Rfam family: Bacterial small subunit ribosomal RNA
Source: RNAcentral
GACGAACGCUGGCGGCGUGCCUAACACAUGCAAGUCGAACGGAAAGGCCCUGCUUUUGUGGGGUGCUCGAGUGGCGAACGGGUGAGUAACACGUGAGUAUCCUGCCCUGGACUUUGGGAUAACUUCAGGAAACUGGGGCUAAUACCGGCUAGGAGCUCCUGCUGCAUGGUGGGGGUUGGAAAGCUUCGGCGGUUGGGGAUGGACUUGGGGCUUAUCAGCUUGUUGGUGGGGUAGUGGCUUACCAAGGCUUGGGUCGGUAGCCGGCCUGAGAGGGUGACCGGUCACACUGGAACUGAGACACGGUCCAGACUCCUACGGGAGGCCGCAGUGGCGAAUAUUGGCCAAUGGGCGAAAGCCUGAUCCAGCCAUGCCGCGUGUGGGAAGAAGGUCUUCGGAUUGUAAAGCACUUUAAGUUGGGAGGAAGGGCAGUAAGUUAAUACCUUGCUGUUUUGACGUUACCAACAGAAUAAGCACCGGCUAACUUCGUG